RNAcentral lists this ribosomal RNA (121 nucleotides) under Macleaya cordata. Lineage: Eukaryota; Viridiplantae; Streptophyta; Magnoliopsida; Ranunculales; Papaveraceae. The record is from RNAcentral.
AGGUGCGAUCAUACCAAUACUAGUGCAUUGGAUCUCAUCAGAACUCCACAACACGUACUUGGGGUGAUCAUAGUAGUAUUAAGAUGGGUGACCUUCCGAGAAUUGAAGUAGUAAGCACUGU